RNAcentral lists this ribosomal RNA (460 nucleotides) under uncultured bacterium. RNAcentral describes it as "partial 16S ribosomal RNA". It matches the Rfam family "Bacterial small subunit ribosomal RNA", at positions 338 to 795 of the family's 1533-position model. The record is from RNAcentral.
CCUACGGGAGGCAGCAGUGAGGAAUAUUGGUCAAUGGGCUUACGCCUGAACCAGCCAAGUCGCGUGAGUGAAGACUGCCCUAUGGGUUGUAAACCUCUUUUGUCAGGGGGCAACGCCUGCUACGUGUAUCCGGCCUGAUAGUACCUGCAUAAAAAGCAUCGGCUAACUCCGUGCCAGCAGCCGCGGUAAUACGGAGGAUGCGAGCGGUAUCCGGAUUUAUUGGGUUUAAAGGGUGCGUAGGCGGAAUGCCAAGUCAGCGGUAAAAUCGCGGGGCUCAACCUGGCACCGCCGUUGAAACUGGCGGGCGUGAGGGGGCGAGAAGGAGGCGGAAUGCGUGGUGUAGCGGGGAAAUGCAGAGAUAUCACGCAGAACUCCGAGUGCGAAGGGAGCUCACUAAACUGAAACUGACAUUGAGGCGCGAAAGUGUGGGUAUCAAACAGGAUUAGAUACCCCGGUAGUC